AGCUUAAUUAAAGCCCUUCGCUUACACCGAAAAGUCUAUCUGUUAAACCCCAGAUUAUUUUGAGCUAAAAAUCUAACCCCACCUUAUAUUAUGUCAUCUCAAGACUUUAAUCAUUUAACUAAAACAUUCUUAUAGUUUAGUAGAGGCGAUCAAAAAAUUAAUCGGAGUAAUAAAUGUUGUACCGCAAGGGAAAGAUGAAAUAAAAAUGAAAAACUAUCAAGCACAAAAAAGUAAAGAUUCACCCUUGUACCUUUUGCAUCAUGAUUUAACUAGCUUACCCCAGCAAAACGACAUUAAGUCGGACUCCCCGAAACUAAGUGAGCUACUUCAAGGCAGCUUAAUGAGCACACCCGUCUCUGUUGCAAAAGAGUGGAGAGACCUUCAAGUAGCGGUGACAGACCUAACGAACUUAGUGAUAGCUGGUUACUCAAGAAAAGGAUUUUAGUCCCGCCUAAAGCAAGCAUUAUUAACCUAAAAUAAGGAUUUUUCAGCUUUAGAGCAAUUCAACUAAGGUACAGCCUAUUUGAAACAGGAUACAACCUUGACUAAUGGGUAACUACUACAUACUUCAUUUUUAAGUGGGCCUAAGAGCAGCCACCUUUAAUAAUAGCGUCAAAGCUUUAUUAUGCAAGUAUCUAAUACCAAUUUUUUCUCACAACCCUUUAUUAGUACUGAGUAAAUCUAUACAGUUAUAGAAACUUUUAUGUUGAAACUAGUAACAAGAAUUAGAUUUUCUCUACAUGCAGGUGUACAUCAGAAAGGACACACCACUGAUAAUUACCGUCCAUGAACCCAAAGAAGCAACUUAACUAGAAAACUCUUCUAUGUCCAAUGUUAAUCUAACACAAGCGCAUGUCAAGAAAGAUUAAAAGAAAAAGAAGGAACUCGGCAAACAUAAGCCUCGCCUGUUUACCAAAAACAUCGCCUCUUGUAAAUUUAAGAGGUCCAGCCUGCCCAGUGACCCUGUUCAACGGCCGCGGUAUCCUAACCGUGCGAAGGUAGCGUAAUCACUUGUUCUUUAAAUAAGGACUAGUAUGAAUGGCACCACGAGGGCUUUGCUGUCUCCUUUUUCUAAUCAGUGAAACUAAUCUUCCCGUGAAGAAGCGGGAAUUAUACUAUAAGACGAGAAGACCCUAUGGAGCUUUAAACAAGUAACACCUGCUAAUUCUUUACAAUAUUCGGAUACUUUAUUUAUAUCUUAGCACUAUGAUUAUAAGUUUUAGGUUGGGGUGACCGCGGAGUAAAAAUUAACCUCCACAUUGAAGGAUCUCUUUCUAAGCAAGAAGCUACAACUUUAAGCAUCAAUAAAUUGACACUUAUUGACCCAAUAUUUUGAUCAACGAACCAAGUUACCCUAGGGAUAACAGCGCAAUCCACUUUAAGAGCUCUUAUCGACAAGUGGGCUUACGACCUCGAUGUUGGAUCAGGGUAUCCCAGUGGUGUAGCCGCUACUAAAGGUUCGUUUGUUCAACGAUUAAAACCCUACGUGAUCU
Molecule: ribosomal RNA, 1493 nt
Filed under: Hylodes japi
Lineage: Eukaryota; Metazoa; Chordata; Amphibia; Anura; Hylodidae
Description: partial 16S ribosomal RNA
Rfam family: Bacterial large subunit ribosomal RNA
Source: RNAcentral